Anguilla rostrata (American eel) is the source of this 1893-nucleotide long non-coding RNA. RefSeq lists it as uncharacterized. The record is from RefSeq and is a predicted model, not a curated record. NCBI's taxonomy places the organism in Eukaryota, Metazoa, Chordata, Actinopteri, Anguilliformes, Anguillidae. The transcript is spliced from 2 exons.
GACUGGUGCAUUGCGUCAAUGUUAUGACAUUCCACUUCUGAUGGUACUUAGCAAAAUCAAAAAAUGGAAUCUACAGUACAUACUGACCAGCGUGCAUAUUAACCAGGACUGAGAAAACUUCCUGAGAUAAUGGAAGUGUUGAAAGGACCAGAGGAAAAAGUCAUCAUUAAUAUCUGAAUCUGCGCACAUCCGUAGAGUACAUUGUUUAAAUGAGUUCUGGGGGGUUCAUGUGAUGCUGUUGCUCUUGAGUUAAUUGUGAUGUUAAAUGAAUGCUAAUCUCCUUCUCGCAACAAUUACAGCAGCUACGUCAGAAGCUGUCAAAGCAAAAGUUGAAACCUGUUUUGCACAGGAAGUAGAAGAAAAAAACAUGCAAUUAACUUUUCUGCAGUUUCAGGCAUAUAGGCUGGUUAAACCACCAGAGGAGGCUCAUGCUUAUUUGUCUGCAUAUCCCUGGAUCAAUACUCAAGUUGGAUUAAAGGCUAACAGGCUAAACUCACCAGCUGCGAUUUUAUCAUAUUUCACUUAUAUCAGUAGAGGCACGGGCUAUUUAUCUUUAUAUUUAAAUAUGAACAGGCAGCAGUUUAGCCAAAAAUCCCUGAUGAAGAUGCCACAAAACACCCUUUGCUAUGCCCAGUGUAUUUGUGCUUGAAGGAUAACAAACUACUAGGAAGCUGAUUAUCACCUAGUGACUCAGUCGCCCAUAAAUUACAGGUACAGUACAGAAUGUUGGCGAACAAGGGUCUAUCUAAGAUAAAUAGGAGUGAUACAAGGUGCUUUUUCCUACUGUUAGGUAGCCUGCAACUACCAUCGACUAUAUUGCCAACCAUCCAUCCAUCCAUUAUCCAACCCACUUAUCCUGGUCAGGGUCCUACAAUAUCUGGUGCCUAUCCCAGCAUGCAUUGGACGAGAGGCAGGGAUACACCCUGGACAGUUUGCCAGUCCAUCGCAGGGCACACACACUCAUGCACUCUUAUCUAGGGGCAAUUUAGACUCUCCAAUUAACCUAACCUGCAUGUCUUUGGACUGUGACAGGAAACCAAAGUGCCCAGAAGAAACUCAGGCAAACAUGGGGAGAACAUACAAGCUCCACACAGAAAGGCCUGGCCAGGAUUCUAACCCAGGACCUUCUUUCCCACUGCACCACUGUGCCACCCUACCAAUCAAUCAACCAAUUGCAGGCUUCCUUCCUACUCGCUUCAAGAAGGCUUCCUCCCUCAUCAGCACUGAACCCCCUCGGUGACCCCCGACAUUAAUGAGCUUUACCCUGGGCCAUCCCAUUAUGUCCCUGAGCUUCUCAUCAAAGAAAUCCUGCCUCCUAACAGAUCAUUUCAGUCAAUUAUUUGCAAAAAAAAAAAAAAAGGAAAGUUAAUUGCCUUUUCAGUCAUCUUGUUCUGUUUAAGGAGCAGGGAUUAACCCGUAAUCUAUGAUUAAAGUUUGUCCCCAGGAUUCUCUUAGAAGAAUUCAUUCGUAAUCUAUGGUAGUAUAAAAGUCAAGUGGAACCGCUCUUUUGUGUGUUUUCCAAAACACAUCCAAGGUAUACUUCAACUUGGAACGCCCUCAAUGCUAUCCUCAGUCCCCUACGUAACUUCAUAAGAAGUAAACUCUAAUCUGUGGUAGCCAGGGUACUUCAUUGCUUGCCAUGCUGUCUGUCCAGUCAGCUGUAAUAUUUAUUGGGGAUGUAUAUUACAAAAGAUGAAUAUGAAAUUAUUAUAUAUUUUAUCACUUUUUUAUUAUUUUAUUCUGUAUUCUUUUAUUUAUAUUACUUUACACUACAUUUACAUUGUCUUAUUUAUAGUGUUGUAUUUCAUUUUAUUUCUUUGGAACUGUUUUGAUUUUUGUGCUGAAUUUAUAUGUCAGUAUGAAAGGUGCUAUAUAAAUACAAUUUUUUGUUGA